UACGUAGGGAGCAAGCGUUGUCCGGAAUCAUUGGGCGUAAAGAGCUCGUAGGUGGCUUGUCGCGUCUGCCGUGAAAGCCCAUGGCUUAACUGUGGGUCUGCGGUGGAUACGGGCAGGCUGGAGGCUGGUAGGGGCAAGCGGAAUUCCUGGUGUAGCGGUGAAAUGCGCAGAUAUCAGGAGGAACACCGGUGGCGAAGGCGGCUUGCUGGGCCAGUUCUGACGCUGAGGAGCGAAAGCGUGGGGAGCGAACAGG
RNAcentral lists this ribosomal RNA (253 nucleotides) under uncultured bacterium. RNAcentral's name for it is "partial 16S ribosomal RNA". It matches the Rfam family "Bacterial small subunit ribosomal RNA", at positions 524 to 776 of the family's 1533-position model. The record is from RNAcentral.